UAGGGAAUCUUCGGCAAUGGACGAAAGUCUGACCGAGCAACGCCGCGCGAGUGAAGAAGGUUUUCGGAUCGUAAAACUCUGUUGUUAGAGAAGAACAAGGACGUUAGUAACUGAACGUCCCCUGACGGUAUCUAACCAGAAAGCCACGGCUAACUACGUGCCAGCAGCCGCGGUAAUACGUAGGUGGCAAGCGUUGUCCGGAUUUAUUGGGCGUAAAGCGAGCGCAGGCGGUUUCUUAAGUCUGAUGUGAAAGCCCCCGGCUCAACCGGGGAGGGUCAUUGGAAACUGGGAGACUUGAGUGCAGAGGAGGAGAGUGGAAUUCCAUGUGUAGCGGUGAAGUGCGUAGAUAUAUGGAGGAACACCAGUGGCGAAGGCGGCUCUCUGGUCUGUAACUGACGCUGAGGCUCGAAAGCGUGGGGAGCAAACAGG
This 429-nucleotide ribosomal RNA is filed under the name Gemmatimonadota bacterium. RNAcentral's name for it is "Gemmatimonadetes bacterium partial 16S ribosomal RNA". It matches the Rfam family "Bacterial small subunit ribosomal RNA", at positions 355 to 776 of the family's 1533-position model. Lineage: Bacteria; Pseudomonadati; Gemmatimonadota. The record is from RNAcentral.